GAGUUUGAUCGUGGCUCAGAUUGAACGCUGGCGGCAGGCCUAACACAUGCAAGUCGAGCGGAUGAAGGGAGCUUGCUCCUGGAUUCAGCGGCGGACGGGUGAGUAAUGCCUAGGAAUCUGCCUGGUAGUGAGGGAUAACGUCCGGAAACGGGCGCUAAUACCGCAUACGUCCUGAGGGAGAAAGUGGGGGAUCUUCGGACCUCACGCUAUCAGACGAGCCUAGGUCGGAUUAGCUAGUUGGUGGGGUAAAGGCCUACCAAGGCGACGAUCCGUAACUGGUCUGAGAGGAUGAUCAGUCACACUGGAACUGAGACACGGUCCAGACUCCUACGGGAGGCAGCAGUGGGGAAUAUUGGACAAUGGGCGAAAGCCUGAUCCAGCCAUGCCGCGUGUGUGAAGAAGGUCUUCGGAUUGUAAAGCACUUUAAGUUGGGAGGAAGGGCGAGUAAGUUAAUACCUUGCUGUUUUGACGUUACCAACAGAAUAAGCACCGGCUAACUUCGUGCCAGCCGCCGC
RNAcentral lists this ribosomal RNA (515 nucleotides) under uncultured microorganism. RNAcentral's name for it is "bacterial SSU rRNA". It matches the Rfam family "Bacterial small subunit ribosomal RNA", at positions 9 to 518 of the family's 1533-position model. The record is from RNAcentral.